Molecule: ribosomal RNA, 2926 nt
Filed under: Escherichia coli
Lineage: Bacteria; Pseudomonadati; Pseudomonadota; Gammaproteobacteria; Enterobacterales; Enterobacteriaceae
Description: partial 23S ribosomal RNA
Rfam family: Bacterial large subunit ribosomal RNA
Source: RNAcentral
GGGUUGUGAGGUUAAGCGACUAAGCGUACACGGUGGAUGCCCUGGCAGUCAGAGGCGAUGAAGGACGUGCUAAUCUGCGAUAAGCGUCGGUAAGGUGAUAUGAACCGUUAUAACCGGCGAUUUCCGAAUGGGGAAACCCAGUGUGAUUCGUCACACUAUCAUUAACUGAAUCCAUAGGUUAAUGAGGCGAACCGGGGGAACUGAAACAUCUAAGUACCCCGAGGAAAAGAAAUCAACCGAGAUUCCCCCAGUAGCGGCGAGCGAACGGGGAGSAGCCCAGAGCCUGAAUCAGUGUGUGUGUUAGUGGAAGCGUCUGGAAAGGCGCGCGAUACAGGGUGACAGCCCCGUACACAAAAAUGCACAURCUGUGAGCUCGAUGAGUAGGGCGGGACACGUGGUAUCCUGUCUGAAUAUGGGGGGACCAUCCUCCAAGGCUAAAUACUCCUGACUGACCGAUAGUGAACCAGUACCGUGAGGGAAAGGCGAAAAGAACCCCGGCGAGGGGAGUGAAAAAGAACCUGAAACCGUGUACGUACAAGCAGUGGGAGCACGCUUCGGCGUGUGACUGCGUACCUUUUGUAUAAUGGGUCAGCGACUUAUAUUCUGUAGCAAGGUUAACCGAAUAGGGGAGCCGAAGGGAAACCGAGUCUUAACUGGGCGUUAAGUUGCAGGGUAUAGACCCGAAACCCGGUGAUCUAGCCAUGGGCAGGUUGAAGGUUGGGUAACACUAACUGGAGGACCGAACCGACUAAUGUUGAAAAAUUAGCGGAUGACUUGUGGCUGGGGGUGAAAGGCCAAUCAAACCGGGAGAUAGCUGGUUCUCCCCGAAAGCUAUUUAGGUAGCGCCUCGUGAAUUCAUCUCCGGGGGUAGAGCACUGUUUCGGCAAGGGGGUCAUCCCGACUUACCAACCCGAUGCAAACUGCGAAUACCGGAGAAUGUUAUCACGGGAGACACACGGCGGGUGCUAACGUCCGUCGUGAAGAGGGAAACAACCCAGACCGCCAGCUAAGGUCCCAAAGUCAUGGUUAAGUGGGAAACGAUGUGGGAAGGCCCAGACAGCCAGGAUGUUGGCUUAGAAGCAGCCAUCAUUUAAAGAAAGCGUAAUAGCUCACUGGUCGAGUCGGCCUGCGCGGAAGAUGUAACGGGGCUAAACCAUGCACCGAAGCUGCGGCAGCGACACUAUGUGUUGUUGGGUAGGGGAGCGUUCUGUAAGCCUGUGAAGGUGURCUGUGAGGYAUGCUGGAGGUAUCAGAAGUGCGAAUGCUGACAUAAGUAACGAUAAAGCGGGUGAAAAGCCCGCUCGCCGGAAGACCAAGGGUUCCUGUCCAACGUUAAUCGGGGCAGGGUGAGUCGACCCCUAAGGCGAGGCCGAAAGGCGUAGUCGAUGGGAAACAGGUUAAUAUUCCUGUACUUGGUGUUACUGCGAAGGGGGGACGGAGAAGGCUAUGUUGGCCGGGCGACGGUUGUCCCGGUUUAAGCGUGUAGGCUGGUUUUCCAGGCAAAUCCGGAAAAUCAAGGCUGAGGCGUGAUGACGAGGCACUACGGUGCUGAAGCAACAAAUGCCCUGCUUCCAGGAAAAGCCUCUAAGCAUCAGGUAACAUCAAAUCGUACCCCAAACCGACACAGGUGGUCAGGUAGAGAAUACCAAGGCGCUUGAGAGAACUCGGGUGAAGGAACUAGGCAAAAUGGUGCCGUAACUUCGGGAGAAGGCACGCUGAUAUGUAGGUGAAGCGACUYSCUCGUGGAGCUGAAAUCAGUCGAAGAUACCAGCUGGCUGCAACUGUUUAUUAAAAACACAGCACUGUGCAAACACGAAAGUGGACGUAUACGGUGUGACGCCUGCCCGGUGCCGGAAGGUUAAUUGAUGGGGUUAGCGSWAACGCGAAGCUCUUGAUCGAAGCCCCGGUAAACGGCGGCCGUAACUAUAACGGUCCUAAGGUAGCGAAAUUCCUUGUCGGGUAAGUUCCGACCUGCACGAAUGGCGUAAUGAUGGCCAGGCUGUCUCCACCCGAGACUCAGUGAAAUUGAACUCGCUGUGAAGAUGCAGUGUACCCGCGGCAAGACGGAAAGACCCCGUGAACCUUUACUAUAGCUUGACACUGAACAUUGAGCCUUGAUGUGUAGGAUAGGUGGGAGGCUUUGAAGUGUGGACGCCAGUCUGCAUGGAGCCGACCUUGAAAUACCACCCUUUAAUGUUUGAUGUUCUAACGUUGRCCCGUKAUCCGGGUUGCGGACAGUGUCUGGUGGGUAGUUUGACUGGGGCGGUCUCCUCCUAAAGAGUAACGGAGGAGCACGAAGGUUGGCUAAUCCUGGUCGGACAUCAGGAGGUUAGUGCAAUGGCAUAAGCCAGCUUGACUGCGAGCGUGACGGCGCGAGCAGGUGCGAAAGCAGGUCAUAGUGAUCCGGUGGUUCUGAAUGGAAGGGCCAUCGCUCAACGGAUAAAAGGUACUCCGGGGAUAACAGGCUGAUACCGCCCAAGAGUUCAUAUCGACGGCGGUGUUUGGCACCUCGAUGUCGGCUCAUCACAUCCUGGGGCUGAAGUAGGUCCCAAGGGUAUGGCUGUUCGCCAUUUAAAGUGGUACGCGAGCUGGGUUUAGAACGUCGUGAGACAGUUCGGUCCCUAUCUGCCGUGGGCGCUGGAGAACUGAGGGGGGCUGCUCCUAGUACGAGAGGACCGGAGUGGACGCAUCACUGGUGUUCGGGUUGUCAUGCCAAUGGCACUGCCCGGUAGCUAAAUGCGGAAGAGAUAAGUGCUGAAAGCAUCUAAGCACGAAACUUGCCCCGAGAUGAGUUCUCCCUGACUCCYUGAGAGUCCUGAAGGAACGUUGAAGACGACGACGUUGAUAGGCCGGGUGUGUAAGCGCAGCGAUGCGUUGAGCUAACCGGUACUAAUGAACCGUGAGGCUUAACCUUACAACGCCGAAG